CACCUUGAUGGAGCGCCGCCCUGCUCCUUAUUGUUCAAAUCGCACUGUCCCUCUUAUGGUCGUGCAUAUCCUUAUUGAAUGUCCUGACUUCCGGGACGAGCGUGUCUUGUUUUCCGACCAUCCCCUGCGGUAGCUUGUCUCGUGUUAUUCUUGGGGACUCUGACCCUUUUGAUAUCGUUCGCCUUGUGCGUUUGUUCUCGUAUUGGCAUCCUUGGUGAUAUUUAGCGCCCUCUGAUUAUGCCGACCUUUUGAUGGUGUUACAUAUCCUACCCGGUUUGGUGCCUUCUUUUGACAAUUACUUACUUGCUGAUGGAUGUUAUUUUUCCCAAGACUUUUGCAGUGAUGUAGCAUUCGGUCCUAAUGUUGGGUAGGGUGUCUUCGGUGGUCCUAUUCUUGGCCAGGGCGUCGGCAGUGGUCCAGCUACCAUAUUCAGCAGUGGCAGGUUGGCCCAGGUGAACGUUCCGCGGGUCGCAGUGGGCAGCACUGGACCUUCUGGAAGUGUUGUCAGACCUGUUGGCGUUCCUCAGGUCAGGAGGGUGGACGAUGUCUUCCACCCCACUGUCACCAAAGUUGUCACCAUCAACUGUUGCGUGACUGUCACCGACCAAGCCUUCAACAGCGUGGCAGUAACACUAACGUCCUUCAGCGUGCAGACUGUCACCGUCGGAACACGCUCGGUGCUACAGACUCCCGUUGAUGACCGGGUCGCUCUCCAGACUUCUGUCCGGCCAACGUCAGUAAUGUUAACGGAAGUGAAGUCUGACUUUAGGAUCGUGACGGAAACGUCACUAAGUUACGUGACCCUCGGCCACACGUCCUACAUAAUCAGCCAGUACACCACUCCGGUCACCCAGGUGUUGACGUACACAGCGACGGUGGUACAACGAAUAUUAAGUGAACUACCUUCACGGACUACCGGACAGUGACGGACACUACAUUAACAGCGGCUACCAUCCUCAAGACUGUUAAUCUUAAUACAAAACUCUUGCAUUGUAGUAAAAAAUAUCUAGUAAACUUAAGUAAUAGCUAAAUAUUUUUAUUAAACUAAUUUUAGAUUAACAAGUUUUGGUUUAAUGUAGUUAAGCUAGUUAAUGAUAGAGGACAGCCCACUAUGGGCUCGCCAUAGCCCGUGCUGCUUGGCACUUUUGUUAAGAGUAGCUGAAUCUUAAACAAGAGUUCGUUAAAAUGAAGAACAUGCCUUGGCAAGUUUUAAUAUGCUUUCUCACUCGUAUAGGCUUGGUCUUCUAGAAACCAACGAAAUUUUUGGUAGCCACUAUGUAAGGCAAAACCAGGCACCGUAGAACUAUCUUAAAUAGUGGUCUUGAAGGCUGUGAUCAUGUCUACCACAAAUGCUCCGGCCAGUUACAGAAAAAUGGAAGUGGGACUAAAGUUAAGUUGUCGCACUAUGCUGCUCGUCCUCCUAAACAAAGGCUAAAGUCUAUUUCAUGGAGCCCCAGUUUAUAAAUGUUAAUAAAAACUAGUUACAAAGACACUCGACUGAUUAUGUAAGCCGUCCUCGGACA
Long non-coding RNA from Procambarus clarkii (red swamp crayfish), 1523 nucleotides. RefSeq lists it as uncharacterized. The record is from RefSeq and is a predicted model, not a curated record. Lineage: Eukaryota; Metazoa; Arthropoda; Malacostraca; Decapoda; Cambaridae.